CCUGUUUAACAAAAACAUGUCUUUUUGAGUUAUUUUUAAAGUCUGACCUGCCCACUGAAAUUUUAAAUGGCCGCAGUAUUCUAACUGUGCAAAGGUAGCAUAAUCAUUAGUCUUUUAAUUGAAGGCUGGUAUGAACGGUUGGACGAGGUAUAAGCUGUUUCAUAUAAAUUUAUAGUAGAAUUUUAUAUUUUAGUCAAAAAGCUAAAAUUUUGUUAAAAGACGAGAAGACCCUAUAAAUCUUUAUAUUUUAUUAUAUCUAAAUUUUUUGGAUUAAGUUUAUUUUUAUAUGGUAAAAUAUUUUGUUGGGGUGAUGUUAAAAUUUAAUGAACUUUUAAUUUUUAAAAAUCAUUAAUUUAUGAUUUAUUGAUCCAUUAGUAGUGAUUAUAAGAUUAAGUUACUUUAGGGAUAACAGCGUAAUUUUUUUGGAGAGUUCAUAUCGAUAAAAAAGUUUGCGACCUCGAUGUUGGAUUAAGAUAUAAUUUUAGGUGUAGCCGCUUAAAU
Molecule: ribosomal RNA, 501 nt
Filed under: Zeugodacus strigifinis
Lineage: Eukaryota; Metazoa; Arthropoda; Insecta; Diptera; Tephritidae
Description: partial large subunit ribosomal RNA
Rfam family: Bacterial large subunit ribosomal RNA
Source: RNAcentral